Molecule: ribosomal RNA, 429 nt
Filed under: Bacillota bacterium
Lineage: Bacteria; Bacillati; Bacillota
Description: Firmicutes bacterium partial 16S ribosomal RNA
Rfam family: Bacterial small subunit ribosomal RNA
Source: RNAcentral
UAGGGAAUCUUCGGCAAUGGACGGAAGUCUGACCGAGCAACGCCGCGUGAGUGAAGAAGGUUUUCGGAUCGUAAAGCUCUGUUGUUAGAGAAGAACGUUGGUAGGAGUGGAAAAUCUACCAAGUGACGGUAACUAACCAGAAAGGGACGGCGAACUACGUGCCAGCAGCCGCGGUAAUACGUAGGUCCCGAGCGUUGUACGGAUUUAUUGGGCGUAAAGCGAGCGCAGGCGGUUCUUUAAGUCUGAAGUUAAAGGCAGUGGCUUAACCAUUAUACGCUUUUGAAACUGGAGGACAUGAGUGCAGAAGGGGAGAGAGGAAUUCCAUGUGUAGCGGUGACAUGCGUUGUUAUAUGGAGGAACACCGGUGACGCAAGCGGCUCGCUGGUCUGUAACUGACGCUGAGGCUCGAAAGCGUGGGGAGCAAACAGG